CUUUUAUAUCAUAAAAACAUAUUGCUCUUGAAUUUAAAUAUAUAUUUUAUGAAUCACUAUCAGAAUAACAAAAGGCCAUGCUAGUUUUCUUUUCAAAACACAAGUAAAUUGCACAAAAUGGAAAAAAACAACCUGUAAGAUUUCCCAAGAUAAGCUUGUAAAAGAAUAAUAAGAGAAUAAUAAGAGAUAUUUAAUUAAAACACCAUUUGUUGUCUGGUAAUGAAAUAUAAUUAACACAUAUAUUCAUUUUAGAAUGCACAGAAAAGCUCACAAGAUUUUUAAAAUGUAUAGAAGCCAUAUUUUUGGUACAUAGAUAUUUAUAUAUGUUACCUUAACUGAAUUAUACCCCUUAUACAACCAUAUACCCUUCUUUCCUAGUUUUAUAUUUGUCAUGAAUCCCAGGUUAUGUGAUUUUAAUAUAAUAUAUACACUCCUGGUUUCAAAUGAGAUCAUAUGUAUGCACUAUAUCUAUGUCUAUAUAAUAUAUAAUGUUUACAUAUGAAGUAAAUAUGGCAAAAUGCAAAAAAAUUACUAAAUCUAUUUUACACAUUAAAGUUUUCUUUAUUUUUUCAGUAUGCUUUGAAAUAUAUUACAAUAAAAGUACAUAACAUUAUAAAGACAAAUCGUUGCCAAUCUUGCUAUUGCUUUUUCUCUCUGUCUUCAAAAGGAUAAAGAAUGAAAACCAACAGAUUUUCUUAGCCAAGAGAGGAAAAUUUGGAAGACAUAAAAGAGAUAUUCCCAGAAUACUACACAAAGAACCAGGGGAUUGUGCAGCCUUGCUUCAGCCAGGAAGAGAUUGGAGAUGCUUCAUUCGCUCUUUGAAACAUGCAGACUGAUGCCCUCCGCAUGUGUUUGUAUUCAAAUACCAAUGAGCAAGGACGAUAGAACCAGUGUAAGAAAUGUUCCAAGUCAUCCAGGUGUCAAACAAACCAAUUAAAUUAAAGGCUAAAGGGAGCUUUUGGAAAUAAGAGCGUUCAACAACAGUUCCAGAAUAAAGGUUUUAAUUUUCUUGAGUGUUCUCGCA
This 1024-nucleotide long non-coding RNA is filed under the name Oryctolagus cuniculus (rabbit). Its description in RNAcentral is "lncRNA (ENSOCUG00000038618.1)". The record is from RNAcentral. Lineage: Eukaryota; Metazoa; Chordata; Mammalia; Lagomorpha; Leporidae.